GUCCAGACUCCUACGGGAGGCAGCAGUGGGGAAUAUUGCACAAUGGGGGAAACCCUGAUGCAGCAACGCCGCGUGAGUGAAGAAGUAUUUCGGUAUGUAAAGCUCUAUCAGCAGGGAAGAAGAUGACGGUACCUGAGUAAGAAGCCCCGGCUAACUACGUGCCAGCAGCCGCGGUAAUACGUAGGGGGCAAGCGUUAUCCGGAUUUACUGGGUGUAAAGGGAGCGUAGACGGUGAGACAAGUCUGAAGUGAAAGCCCGGGGCUCAACCCCGGGACUGCUUUGGAAACUGCCUGACUGGAGUGCUGGAGAGGCAAGCGGAAUUCCUAGUGUAGCGGUGAAAUGCGUAGAUAUUAGGAAGAACACCAGUGGCGAAGGCGGCUUGCUGGACAGUAACUGACGUUGAGGCUCGAAAGCGUGGGGAGCAAACAGGAUUAGAUACCCCCGUAAG
RNAcentral lists this ribosomal RNA (448 nucleotides) under uncultured bacterium. RNAcentral's name for it is "bacterial SSU rRNA". It matches the Rfam family "Bacterial small subunit ribosomal RNA", at positions 329 to 793 of the family's 1533-position model. The record is from RNAcentral.